RNAcentral lists this unclassified non-coding RNA (1975 nucleotides) under Hevea brasiliensis (rubber tree). Lineage: Eukaryota; Viridiplantae; Streptophyta; Magnoliopsida; Malpighiales; Euphorbiaceae. The record is from RNAcentral.
GGUUGUAAAGCCAUAAAUAGACCUAGGCUGAACAUAGCCAUGCCAAGGCCAGCAUCAGACAGUAUGGAAAUGGACUUCUCUAUUAUUUUAGGCAUAGCCACAUGCCACCUGCAAUUAAAUCCAAAUAUACAGAUAUCAAUCACAGUAACUUAAUUAUUUCCAAAAAAACUGAAUUUGUUUCAGAAUUUUGAUUAUAUAUUCACUCACCGGAAUGAAACUAGAGACCAAACCAGGCCAAUGAGACUGGAGUAUGUGUUUGGGUUCCGAAUCAAUUUGCGCCAAACCAUGAUCAAUAUCAGACGGGUCAUCACGCUCGCCGGAGGCAUAUGUUUGUUGGCUCCAGACUCUGGUGCUCCGGCGACCUUUGGGUGAAGCUCCGCCGUUGAGCUUGACCCUAGCUUGUUAAGUCCAGUGGGUCCCUCUUUUUCUCUCCCUUCCUCUUCUCCUUCUCCUUUACCAGCAAAACUAAAGUCUUCGCCAGGAAAUUCUCCAGCAUGUGCAAUGGCUUUGGUUUCCCCAUCUUGUGGGUGGUCAGCAACUAACAUUCUGAUCUCCUUGGCUCCCUGGUCUGACCGGCCAGAUUGCUGGGAUGCUCCGAAAUCAUUCCCGCCAAAUACAUCGGAGACCGGGGACGCACUGGAACUCCACACAAACAUGUGCAGCUCCUUAGCAUCAUGGUUUGCUUUCGAAUUUUGUUGCUGCUGUUGAGGCUGGUGCUGCUGCUGAUGAUUCUUGGUGUUCUUUGUGGAGACUGUUGAAGAAAAUUCUGUAUUUGGUGCUGGGUAAGAUGAUGGUACGGUCUGCCCCGGAUAAAACCCGAAUCUCGGAGAAGAAAUUGUAGCCAUUGGAGCACAAUUUUCUUCAAAAUUUGAGGGCCGAGGCGUUGGACCUCUUGAAGAUUGUACAGAAUACAAGUCUGCUGGGCCAAAAUUUGAUAGCCUUCCGCCAGGGAAUCCCUGAACUCCCAUCAUAUUAUAAAAGUCGGAAGUGUUAAAAUUAGAUCCUCUAGGAGUUGGAUUUCUCGAUGAACUCAAGCUGUAUAUCUCAGCUCCAGUAAGAUUCGACGGACGAGGAGUCAAUGCAGAGAAAGAACCAGGGCCCAAAGAUCGCCGAGAAGCAUUCGAUUUCCUCACUGUCACAUGUAGCUUCCCAUCAUCACCAAUCUCAGCAUCCGUUUCCAAGAAAUCUCUGCCGUCUAAGGAAACAACAUCAGAAUCCACCUUGAACGAAACAAUGGAAGCUGCAGUUUCAGGGAACUGCUCCAUGAUCAACAUCUUGGCUCCUCUGUACUCAAAAAGAAACAAAAGAAGAGUAUACCAAAUGAUACACUGCAAAACAACCACCUGAACCAUGAGGCUACCGGAGUACUCGCCGUACAUGGCAAUUAACAGAGGAAUGCCCAUGACCAGAGUGUUUGGAAGAGUAGACAAAGAGAAAAUUGUAAUCAUCCAUUCUAAACUUCCAUUUUUUGUGAAAUUAGUCCAAAUACCAAGAGCGACAAGCAUUAUAAUCUUUUGAAGCGUAUCGGCGGCAAUGAACCGGAAAUUCAUGGCGUAAGGAUCGUUGGUGGAGAUGAAAUGGAAAGACAGCAACGGCACAGCAAAUAUCGCCACGAACCGGUUGAUGCCGGAGCACUGGUCCGGGCUGAAAAUCUUCCACCACCGCACAGAGCCGUAGGCCAAGAUCAUGGCAACAUAGAGAGGAAUCACCGCCGUUAAAACGGUGUACAGAUCCUUCCAGCUAAUCAUGAUUAAUUAUUCUUGUCUCCCUCUGUAUCACUUCGAAAAGUAAAUUCAACAGAAGGGGAAGGACAAAAUGGGCUGAAACGAAGUAAAAAACCGUUAACUAAGUAACUACUCUGCACUCUGCAGCAGCUACACCUGCAGUGCACUGCUUCAGAUAGCUCUACAGAUAGAAAGAGAGAAGUAGGGCAGUGUUCUGAAGAGAGAGAGAGAUUGCCAAAGAGAGAUAUAUA